Molecule: ribosomal RNA, 252 nt
Filed under: uncultured bacterium
Lineage: Bacteria
Description: partial 16S ribosomal RNA
Rfam family: Bacterial small subunit ribosomal RNA
Source: RNAcentral
UACGAAGGGGGCUAGCGUUGCUCGGAAUCACUGGGCGUAAAGGGCUCGUAGGCGGCCAACUAAGUCAGACGUGAAAUCCCUCGGCUUAACCGGGGAACUGCGUCUGAUACUGGUUGGCUUGAGUGUGGGAGAGGGAUGCGGAAUUCCAGGUGUAGCGGUGAAAUGCGUAGAUAUCUGGAGGAACACCGGUGGCGAAGGCGGCAUCCUGGACCUUACUGACGCUGAGGAGCGAAAGCCAGGGGAGCAAACGGG